RNAcentral lists this ribosomal RNA (413 nucleotides) under uncultured bacterium. Its description in RNAcentral is "bacterial SSU rRNA". It matches the Rfam family "Bacterial small subunit ribosomal RNA", at positions 352 to 782 of the family's 1533-position model. The record is from RNAcentral.
CAGUGGGGAAUAUUGGACAAUGGGCGCAAGCCUGAUCCAGCCAUGCCGCGUGAGUGAUGAAGGUCUUAGGAUUGUAAAGCUCUUUCACCGACGAAGAUAAUGACGGUAGUCGGAGAAGAAGCCCCGGCUAACUUCGUGCCAGCAGCCGCGGUAAUACGAAGGGGGCUAGCGUUGUUCGGAAUUACUGGGCGUAAAGCGCAUGUAGGCGGAUAUUUAAGUCAGGGGUGAAAUCCCAGAGCUCAACUCUGGAACUGCCUUUGAUACUGGGUAUCUUGAGUAUGGAAGAGGUGAGUGGAAUUCCGAGUGUAGAGGUGAAAUUCGUAGAUAUUCGGAGGAACACCAGUGGCGAAGGCGGCUCACUGGUCCAUUACUGACGCUGAGGUGCGAAAGCGUGGGGAGCAAACAGGAUUAGA